RNAcentral lists this ribosomal RNA (856 nucleotides) under Psychrobacter sp. TB54. RNAcentral's name for it is "bacterial SSU rRNA". It matches the Rfam family "Bacterial small subunit ribosomal RNA", at positions 104 to 958 of the family's 1533-position model. The record is from RNAcentral. Lineage: Bacteria; Pseudomonadati; Pseudomonadota; Gammaproteobacteria; Moraxellales; Moraxellaceae.
GGGUGAGUAAUACUUAGGAAUCUACCUAGUAGUGGGGGAUAGCACGGGGAAACUCGUAUUAAUACCGCAUACGACCUACGGGAGAAAGGGGGCAGUUUACUGCUCUCGCUAUUAGAUGAGCCUAAGUCGGAUUAGCUAGAUGGUGGGGUAAAGGCCUACCAUGGCGACGAUCUGUAGCUGGUCUGAGAGGAUGAUCAGCCACACCGGGACUGAGACACGGCCCGGACUCCUACGGGAGGCAGCAGUGGGGAAUAUUGGACAAUGGGGGAAACCCUGAUCCAGCCAUGCCGCGUGUGUGAAGAAGGCCUUUUGGUUGUAAAGCACUUUAAGCAGUGAAGAAGACUCCGUGGUUAAUACCCACGGACGAUGACAUUAGCUGCAGAAUAAGCACCGGCUAACUCUGUGCCAGCAGCCGCGGUAAUACAGAGGGUGCAAGCGUUAAUCGGAAUUACUGGGCGUAAAGGGAGCGUAGGUGGCUCUAUAAGUCAGAUGUGAAAUCCCCGGGCUCAACCUGGGAACUGCAUCUGAAACUGUAGAGCUAGAGUAUGUGAGAGGAAGGUAGAAUUCCAGGUGUAGCGGUGAAAUGCGUAGAGAUCUGGAGGAAUACCGAUGGCGAAGGCAGCCUUCUGGCAUAAUACUGACACUGAGGCUCGAAAGCGUGGGUAGCAAACAGGAUUAGAUACCCUGGUAGUCCACGCCGUAAACGAUGUCUACUAGUCGUUGGGUCCCUUGAGGACUUAGUGACGCAGCUAACGCAAUAAGUAGACCGCCUGGGGAGUACGGCCGCAAGGUUAAAACUCAAAUGAAUUGACGGGGGCCCGCACAAGCGGUGGAGCAUGUGGUUUAAUUCGAUGCA